GGCCCUAUAGCUCAGUUGGUAGAGCAAUCGGCUGUUAACCGAUGUGUCGCAGGUUCGAGCCCUGCUGGGGCCGCCA
This 76-nucleotide transfer RNA is filed under the name Methanobrevibacter sp. RNAcentral describes it as "tRNA-Asn". It matches the Rfam family "tRNA". Rfam says of the family: Transfer RNA (tRNA) molecules are approximately 80 nucleotides in length. Lineage: Archaea; Methanobacteriati; Methanobacteriota; Methanobacteria; Methanobacteriales; Methanobacteriaceae. The record is from RNAcentral.